This 399-nucleotide ribosomal RNA is filed under the name uncultured bacterium. RNAcentral's name for it is "bacterial SSU rRNA". It matches the Rfam family "Bacterial small subunit ribosomal RNA", at positions 976 to 1380 of the family's 1533-position model. The record is from RNAcentral.
AGGUCUUGACAUACCUUGCAAAGCUAUAGAGAUAUAGUAGAGGUUAACAAGGAUACAGGUGGUGCAUGGUUGUCGUCAGUUCGUGUCGUGAGAUGUUUGGUUAAGUUCAGCAACGAACGCAACCCUUGUCCUUAGUUGCCAGCAUUAAGUUGGGGACUCUAAGGAGACUGCUAGUGUAAGCUAGAGGAAGGUGGGGACGACGUCAAAUCAUCAUGCCCCUUAUGACCUGGGCUACACACGUGCUACAAUGGCUGAUACAAAGAGUCGCUAAACCGCGAGGUCAAGCAAAUCUCAAAAAGUCAGUCUCAGUCCGGAUUGAAGUCUGCAACUCGACUUCAUGAAGUCGGAAUCGCUAGUAAUCGCGAAUCAGCAAUGUCGCGGUGAAUACGGUCUCGGGUC